This 462-nucleotide ribosomal RNA is filed under the name uncultured bacterium. RNAcentral describes it as "partial 16S ribosomal RNA". It matches the Rfam family "Bacterial small subunit ribosomal RNA", at positions 28 to 507 of the family's 1533-position model. The record is from RNAcentral.
GACGAACGCUGGCGGCGUGCUUAACACAUGCAAGUCGAGCGACGCUCUUCCUUCGGGGAGAUGACGGAGCGGCGAACGGGUGAGUAACACGUGGGCAACCUGCCCCUAGCUCUGGGACAACACCGGGAAACCGGUGCUAAUACCGGAUACGACAUCGAGCGGCAUCUCUCGAUGUGGAAAGUUUUUUCGGCUAGGGAUGGGCCCGCGGCCUAUCAGCUUGUUGGUGGGGUAAUGGCCCACCAAGGCGACGACGGGUAGCCGGCCUGAGAGGGCGACCGGCCACACUGGGACUGAGACACGGCCCAGACUCCUACGGGAGGCAGCAGUGGGGAAUAUUGCGCAAUGGGCGAAAGCCUGACGCAGCGACGCCGCGUGAGGGAUGACGGCCUUCGGGUUGUAAACCUCUUUCAGCAGGGACGAAUUCAGACGGUACCUGCAGAAGAAGCACCGGCCAACUACGCG